GAUGAACGCUGGCGGCGUGCCUAAUACAUGCAAGUCGAGCGAACAGACGAGGAGCUUGCUCCUCUGACGUUAGCGGCGGACGGGUGAGUAACACGUGGAUAACCUACCUAUAAGACUGGGAUAACUUCGGGAAACCGGAGCUAAUACCGGAUAAUAUAUUGAACCGCAUGGAUCAAUAGUGAAAGACGGUUUUGCUGUCACUUAUAGAUGGAUCCGCGCCGCAUUAGCUAGUUGGUAAGGUAACGGCUUACCAAGGCAACGAUGCGUAGCCGACCUGAGAGGGUGAUCGGCCACACUGGAACUGAGACACGGUCCAGACUCCUACGGGAGGCAGCAGUAGGGAAUCUUCCGCAAAGGGCGAAAGCCUGACGGAGCAACGCCGCGUGAGUGAUGAAGGUCUUCGGAUCGUAAAACUCUGUUAUUAGGGAAGAACAAAUGUGUAAGUAACUAUGCACGUCUUGACGGUACCUAAUCAGAAAGCCACGGCUAACUACGUG
This 497-nucleotide ribosomal RNA is filed under the name uncultured bacterium. Its description in RNAcentral is "partial 16S ribosomal RNA". It matches the Rfam family "Bacterial small subunit ribosomal RNA", at positions 28 to 507 of the family's 1533-position model. The record is from RNAcentral.